RNAcentral lists this long non-coding RNA (1037 nucleotides) under Oryctolagus cuniculus (rabbit). Its description in RNAcentral is "lncRNA (ENSOCUG00000039363.1)". Lineage: Eukaryota; Metazoa; Chordata; Mammalia; Lagomorpha; Leporidae. The record is from RNAcentral.
AUGCCUGCCACUGUGUAGACAGAGACUCCCAACUCCUCGAAGAAUGAAAAACAAGGCCAACAGCUUAGAUGGGGAGCAAUGCUGUGUUUGUCUGGUGUCUGAGAUAAGGACACUAAUCCAAAGUCCAAGCCCAAGGGAAUGAGCGCCAACUCACUUUGUAGAGGAGGCUGGGUCUGUGUCUGUGCUCACCGAGGCUGCUGCAGCCGAGGCUGUUCUGUGAGUGAGCUCAGCUUGAGGACGGCAGCCACGGAUCCUUAUCUUCAGCCAGGGUCACGCCCUCAAGAAUAUCAGCAGCAAGGACAGCCGAUGUGGAGCAAGAACCUUGACCUCACAGCUGAGGGUGAAGGACUGUGGGCACACAUGGCUCUAAAUGACAGCCAGGCAUUAAAAGCCGACUUGAGCCUCACUGGGAUGAUCUGCAAAAGUCACUCCCCAGGAGACUGUGAGCACAGCUGCCCACUGAUAACGGCACUUGCAGAUGCUGCACAGCGCGUCAUUCGAACGGACACCGAGUCUGAAAGCUGCCCCUGGGUAAGAGCAAUGCAAAAACAGAAUCAAAGAGUGAUAUUUCAUAGACUCACACUGAGAACCCUACAGGAGAGCUAGGAGACAGUGCCCAUGAAAGCGAAGCAAGAAUAAGGUUUUGGCCAGCGUGGAUGCAAAGCAAUUCAGUGUGUAAAGACUGAGAACAGGGGCUGGCACUGGGGCUCAGUGCAUUAAGCCACCAUUGAGAUGCCAGCAUCCUAUAUGAGCACCAGUUGGAGUCCCAGUUGCUCCACUUUUGAUCCAGCUUCCUGCUAAUGCACUUGGGAAAGCAGCAGAUGAUGGCUCAAGUACCUGGGCCCCUGCCACUCAUGUAGAGUCAAGGAUAGAGUUCCAGGUUCCUGGCUUCAUCUUCAAUGAACCUUGGUUGUUGCAGGUAUUUGGGAAACAAACCAGGGGAUGGAAGAUCUCUCUUCCUCUCUCUGAAUCUCCCUAUCUCUCUGUGACUCUGUCUUUCAAAUAAAUAAUUUUUUAGAAUGUUUUAUUUAUUUAUU